CCGUGGGUGGCCACGCUGAGGUCGAAGAGGCCCAGUGGGAAUUGCUUCCCAGCCGAAUGCGCAGAGAGCAGAGAUGGAGCUGGGAGCCGUGGGAAGGUGAGGCCAGUGGUGAAGCCGGGAAGGCCUGCCCACGAAGCCCUCCCUGCGCCCUGCAUGGCGGAGCAGCGAGUGACCUUUCCAAGUGGGAAGAGGCUGACGUGUCCGCGACUCUCUUCACUCCUCAAGGCCUUCCUUUCAAAUGCCACAUCCUUUACCAAGCCUUCCCCGGGCUCGGCCAAGCUGGAAAGAUUCCCCCCUGCCUCCAAAAGCCAAUAGCCCUCGAUGUGGGCCUCUCUGGUGGCAUUUCCCAAUUUCUGCUUUAGGUCUUUUCUCUUUCCCACCAAUGGACCCUGGGUUGGUACCACCAUGCUGCCCACCUCUAGGCAACACCCUUUACUUUGGGAGCGCUCCUGUGCUCUCUUAUUCCCAAAUCACUAUGAUGCCCCCCCCCCAUCCCCUUGCUCCGGCAUUGCGGUACUGUUUGGAGAAGUAUUGCAAAGUCCCUCUGGUCAUAGAUGAUGGAGGAAACUUUCCCAGCAUUUUGGUGCAUGGAACUCAGGCACAAUCCCUGGAAAUUCUGUCUUAAGACUCAAAUAAGCAGCUUAGAAUGGGAUCGCCAAUUCAAACAGAGUCAAGUAUAAAGGAAGAGCCGCCAAUGCUUAAUACCGUUGACGUCAGCCAUGAUGGGAGUCAACAAGAGAAGGUAUGGAAUCCAGAAGAAGGAGCCUAACUAAGGUAAUCCUUAAGCCCAGGGAAGCUCUACAGGCAAGUACAAGAAUCAGAGGUGGCUUUUUCCCAUAGCAGGUGGCAAGAGUGUGUUCGAUUUAAAGGGACAGUACUGUAAAAUCAACCACAAUAAGAGCCAGCAACUUCAUUGAAUUUCCGCCAAUCCGACGCACCCAAGUGAGACUUCGAUUUGAAAGUGAGUGAAGAGACAGGUGUGGAUCAUCCGUUGUACUGAGAAAAGUCAUGGCAGCAGCUUUCUAGACACGACAGAGGUAAUGGGUUCUGCUCUCUAUUCCAUACGCAUAAUUAUUUCUGGAAAUGUAGCCUAAAACCUGUUGUAC
Molecule: long non-coding RNA, 1106 nt
Filed under: Ursus maritimus (polar bear)
Lineage: Eukaryota; Metazoa; Chordata; Mammalia; Carnivora; Ursidae
Description: lncRNA (ENSUMAG00000021095.1)
Source: RNAcentral